RNAcentral lists this long non-coding RNA (778 nucleotides) under Homo sapiens (human). RNAcentral's name for it is "non-protein coding lnc-B3GAT2-5:1". The record is from RNAcentral. Lineage: Eukaryota; Metazoa; Chordata; Mammalia; Primates; Hominidae.
AUGACACAACAGGCGAUCUCCUUUGCCAAGGACCAUCUGGCUGGUGGCAUUGCUGCUGCUGUCGCCAAGAUAGUUGUGGCCCUGAUUGAGCAGGUGAAGCUGCUGUAGCAGAUGCAAGGCGCUAGGAAGCAGGUGACAGCUGACAGCAGUGCACAGGAAUUGUGGACUACUUUCUUAAGCAAGCCCUCAACAUCACAUUCAAGGAUAAGCAGACACAGCUAUUCCUGGGAGUAUGGAUGAACACACACAGUUCUAGAGCUGUUUUGCCCACAAUCUGGCCUCCAACAAGGCGGCCAGAGCCACCUGUCUCUGUUUUGUGUACUUGCUGGGUUUUGCCAGAACCCAUCUGGUGGUCAAUGUUGGGAAAUCGUACACAGAGCUGGGAUUCAGGUUCAAAGACCUAGGAGACUGUCUGGUGAAGAUAAGUAAGUCUGAUGGGAUCUGGGGCCUGUACCAGGGCUUCAGCAUCUCUGUGCAGGGCAUCAUCCUUUUCUGGGCAGCCUGAAGGCCUAAGGCAUGCUCCCUGACUCCAAGACCACCACAUCAUGGUGAGCCAGAUGAUUGCCCAGACUGUGGUGGUGCGGCCAACAUGACCUUCUACCCAUUGGGCCCUGUGCAGACCCAAAGGAGCCAACAUACUGCACAUGGGAACCCUCAAUUGCUGGAGGAAGAUUUUUAAGGAGGAAAAGGGAAAGCCUUCUUCAAGAGUGCAUGGUCUAAUGUUCUCAGAGAUAUGGGAGGAGCUUUUAGGCCUGUCCUGUAUGUGGAAUUGAAGAAG